This 355-nucleotide unclassified non-coding RNA is filed under the name soil metagenome. RNAcentral's name for it is "partial contains 5.8S ribosomal RNA, internal transcribed spacer 2, and large subunit ribosomal RNA". The stretch from base 1 to 120 matches the Rfam family "5.8S ribosomal RNA", at positions 35 to 154 of the family's 154-position model. The record is from RNAcentral.
GAUGAAGAACGCAUCGAAAUGCGAUAAGUAGUGUGAAUUGCAGAAUUCAGUGAAUCAUCGAAUCUUUGAACGCACAUUGCGCCUUCUAGUAUUCUGGGAGGCAUGCCUGUUUGAGCGUCAUUAAACCUCUCUCAAGUAUGAUUACUUGGAUGUGAAGGAAGAGUACCUUAAACUUAAGGAGUGUUCUCCUUUGAAAUUGAUUAGCAGAUGGUAAUGUUAUUAAAUCCCUGAUGUUGUAAGAAAUAACAGUGGUUUUGUAGACUAUUAUCUAGCUUUAAAUUAUAAUUUUUAUUAUGGUUGACCUCAAAUCAGGUAAGGAUACCCGCUGAACUUAAGCAUAUCAAUAAGCGGAGGA